ACAAAGCAGACAAGAAGCUUGACUUCUGAAUACGGGGAAAAGGACAAGACCUCCACUGACUAGGAAUCUGAUCUGUUGUAGCCCAUAAGCUUAGUCAACACCAGGUGUUACCAGGCUGUUACAGGCUUGUAGCUUUGUCAAGUAAAUUUGCAUAAAUAAAUGUGACAUAAAACUAAAACAUGUUUUUUUACUUACAGCAAAUGUCUAGUUAACAGACUUACUGUUAACUAGAAGAAUGUGGGGUAAUGGAAGUCCAGCAGUGAAAAGAAGCUGGACACCUUGCAUGCAUGUCUCUGCUGCAAUGAGCAAUGGUGUGAUGUGUCAUGAGAAUCUCUGGAACCUGCAGAGGAUUCUGCCAGGGAGCCAAGUCAUAGUGACAGAGCUGAGAGGAGCUGUUGUCAAGACUGAUUCAACACUUGAGAAGUGCCACGUAUUUACUAGGGAUGAAGUUGUAAUUGCCAUCAGCUGUGGACCGCCAGCAUGAGCAUGCCAAUAUAAGCAGAUGGGACUGAGGCCAGAAGAAAUAUAGGGAGAGCAGAAAAACCCCUCACCAGCCGGGACUUGACUUUCUUUGGCAGUUCUUCUUCCAGUGUGUGAAGAUCACUGCGCUUCACUGUCAGCUGAGAUCCAUCU
Molecule: non-coding RNA, 633 nt
Organism: Lepisosteus oculatus (spotted gar)
Lineage: Eukaryota; Metazoa; Chordata; Actinopteri; Semionotiformes; Lepisosteidae
Source: RefSeq, a predicted model, not a curated record